Molecule: ribosomal RNA, 919 nt
Filed under: uncultured Bacteroidota bacterium
Lineage: Bacteria; Pseudomonadati; Bacteroidota
Description: bacterial SSU rRNA
Rfam family: Bacterial small subunit ribosomal RNA
Source: RNAcentral
GGAUCCAGACUUUGAUUCUGGCUCAGGAUGAACGCUAGCUACAGGCUUAACACAUGCAAGUCGAGGGGCAGCAUGACGAUAGCUUGCUAUUGUUGAUGGCGACCGGCGCACGGGUGAGUAACGCGUAUCCAACCUGCCCUUGUCCAUCGGAUAACCCGUCGAAAGGCGGCCUAACACGAUAUGCAGUCCACAGAAGGCAUCUGACGCGGACGAAAUGUAAAGGAGAAGGAUGGGGAUGCGUCUGAUUAGCUUGUUGGCGGGGUAACGGCCCACCAAGGCGACGAUCAGUAGGGGUUCUGAGAGGAAGGUCCCCCACAUUGGAACUGAGACACGGUCCAAACUCCUACGGGAGGCAGCAGUGAGGAAUAUUGGUCAAUGGGCGAGAGCCUGAACCAGCCAAGUAGCGUGCAGGAAGACGGCCCUAUGGGUUGUAAACUGCUUUUAUGCGGGGAUAAAGUGAGCCACGUGUGGCUUAUUGCAGGUACCGCAUGAAUAAGGACCGGCUAAUUCCGUGCCAGCAGCCGCGGUAAUACGGAAGGUCCGGGCGUUAUCCGGAUUUAUUGGGUUUAAAGGGAGCGUAGGCCGUCUGGUAAGCGUGUUGUGAAAUGUCGGGGCUCAACCUGGGCAUUGCAGCGCGAACUGUCAGACUUGAGUGCGCGGGAAGUAGGCGGAAUUCGUCGUGUAGCGGUGAAAUGCUUAGAUAUGACGAAGAACUCCGAUUGCGAAGGCAGCCUGCUGUAGCGCAACUGACGCUGAAGCUCGAAAGCGUGGGUAUCGAACAGGAUUAGAUACCCUGGUAGUCCACGCGGUAAACGAUGGAUGCUCGCUGUUUGCGUCUGACGUAAGCGGCCAAGCGAAAGCGUUAAGCAUCCCACCUGGGGAGUACGCCGGCAACGGUGCAACUCAAAGGAAUUGACGG